GAUGAUCGCUGGCGGCGUGCCUAAUACAUGCAAGUCGAGCGAACAGAUAAGGAGCUUGCUCCUUUGACGUUAGCGGCGGACGGGUGAGUAACACGUGGGUAACCUACCUAUAAGACUGGAAUAACUCCGGGAAACCGGGGCUAAUGCCGGAUAACAUUUAGAACCGCAUGGUUCUAAAGUGAAAGAUGGUUUUGCUAUCACUUAUAGAUGGACCCGCGCCGUAUUAGCUAGUUGGUAAGGUAACGGCUUACCAAGGCAACGAUACGUAGCCGACCUGAGAGGGUGAUCGGCCACACUGGAACUGAGACACGGUCCAGACUCCUACGGGAGGCAGCAGUAGGGAAUCUUCCGCAAUGGGCGAAAGCCUGACGGAGCAACGCCGCGUGAGUGAUGAAGGUCUUCGGAUCGUAAAACUCUGUUAUUAGGGAAGAACAAAUGUGUAAGUAACUAUGCACGUCUUGACGGUACCUAAUCAGAAAGCCACGGCUAACUACGUG
RNAcentral lists this ribosomal RNA (497 nucleotides) under uncultured bacterium. Its description in RNAcentral is "partial 16S ribosomal RNA". It matches the Rfam family "Bacterial small subunit ribosomal RNA", at positions 28 to 507 of the family's 1533-position model. The record is from RNAcentral.